GGUUAAGCGACUAAGCGUACACGGUGGAUGCCCUGGCAGUCAGAGGCGAUGAAGGGCGUGCUAAUCUGCGAUAAGCGCCGGUAAGGUGAUAUGAACCGUUAUAACCGGCGAUACCCGAAUGGGGAAACCCAGUGUGACUCGUCACACUAUCAUUAACUGAAUCCAUAGGUUAAUGAGGCGAACCGGGGGAACUGAAACAUCUAAGUACCCCGAGGAAAAGAAAUCAACCGAGAUUCCCCCAGUAGCGGCGAGCGAACGGGGAGGAGCCCAGAGCCUGAAUCAGCAUGUGUGUUAGUGGAAGCGUCUGGAAAGGCGCGCGAUACAGGGUGACAGCCCCGUACACAAAAGCGCAUGUGCUGUGAGCUCGAUGAGUAGGGCGGGACACGUGGUAUCCUGUCUGAAUAUGGGGGGACCAUCCUCCAAGGCUAAAUACUCCUGACUGACCGAUAGUGAACCAGUACCGUGAGGGAAAGGCGAAAAGAACCCCGGCGAGGGGAGUGAAAAAGAACCUGAAACCGUGUACGUACAAGCAGUGGGAGCACCCUUU
Molecule: ribosomal RNA, 547 nt
Filed under: Salmonella enterica subsp. enterica serovar Abony
Lineage: Bacteria; Pseudomonadati; Pseudomonadota; Gammaproteobacteria; Enterobacterales; Enterobacteriaceae
Description: partial 23S ribosomal RNA
Rfam family: Bacterial large subunit ribosomal RNA
Source: RNAcentral